This is a non-coding RNA of Gemella haemolysans ATCC 10379, 265 nucleotides long. The record is from Rfam. Lineage: Bacteria; Bacillati; Bacillota; Bacilli; Caryophanales; Gemellaceae.
AAAUGCUAGGUGGGGAGUUAGCGGUGCCCUGUACUUGCAAUCCGCUUUAGCAAGACCGAAUACCGAGAUGCGGGUAGAAUAGGGAAUGUCGAGUUUAACACGUAAUGUUGAGACUAAGGCACCUUACGACGCAAUACUUAUGAACCAUGUCAGGUCCGGAAGGAAGCAGCAUUAAGUAAGUCUAUUGUGGGUGUGAGUUUUUGUCGAGGUUGAGUUGUCGAUUAGACUAACGGUUUUUUAAUCUAUUCAAGUCUCGGUUGCAUAU